GUGGACAUAACUCUACAGAUAGCAGGUCCAGAAAACACUUCUACUGAAACAUAUAAAGUGUCCACAAGAUGGCAACAUGUCUGGUGAAAGACCCGCACAUAGUGCAUCAACUCAUGUAACAACAUGCCCCCAAAGAAUUUGGAAUAUGAGUCGCGUUUUCCUAGUGGCUUGUUUCUGCGUUUUCUUUUGAUUUCCCAUCACGAUCCAGUGUUUAAGAAAGGUGAACGGAGUUGAAUAGUUGUAACGUGUGAUGUUCUUGUCCUAUAAUGGGACAGCAUAACAUAGGUUAGGGAUUAAUUCAAUGGAACAACUGUUCAUUCCUCGACAGAUUAUCAUCUUUAGGUUCUCUGGGUAGGCAAAGUGAAAGGGGGGCGUGCCGAACGGUUUCGCCCGGUAAUAAUACACGGGACACGGGUACUUUGAGGACUGGCUUCACGGAGAUCCACGCAUACUGUGUUCCCGGGUGUUGUGACAGACCUGAAAAAGCAGAUCCGUAUGGUUUUGAUGUCAUGAAGGAGCAUGAGGACGACCCGGAGAUGUUAUUUGACCUGCAGCAGCCUGGCCAAGUCCUACGCCUCCACGCCCGAGCUACGCAAGGCCUGGCUGGACAACAUGCCAUGCAUCACAGCAAGAACCACAGACCUACCUGAGGUAGGCUUCAUACAGCUAACUCUGACCCCUGACCUGAGGUAGGCUUCAUACAGCUAACCCUGACCCCUGACCUGAGUUAGGUGUCAUACAGCUAACCCUGACCCCUGACCUGAGGUAGGCUUCAUACAGCUAACCCUGACCCCUGACCUGAGUUAGGCGUCAUACAGCUAACCCUGACCCCUGACCUGAGGUAGACUUCAUACAGCUAACCCUGACCCUUGACCUGAGGUUGGCUUCAUACAGCUAACCUUGACCCCUGACCUGAGGUAGGCUUCAUACAGCUAACCCUGACCCCUGACCUGAGGUAGGCUUCAUACAGCUAACCCUGACUACUGACCUGAGUUAGGCGUCAUACAACUAACCUUGACCCCUGACCUGAGGUAGGCUUCAUACAGCUAACCCUGACCCCUGACCUGAGUUAGGCGUCAUACAGCUAACCCUGACCCCUGACCUGAGGUAGGCUUCAUACAGCUAACCUUGACCCCUGACCUGAGGUAGGCUUCAUACAGCUAACCUUGACCCCUGACCUGAGGUAGGCGUCAUACAGCUAACCUUGACCCCUGAC
RNAcentral lists this long non-coding RNA (1216 nucleotides) under Oncorhynchus mykiss (rainbow trout). RNAcentral describes it as "lncRNA (ENSOMYG00000054296.1)". The record is from RNAcentral. Lineage: Eukaryota; Metazoa; Chordata; Actinopteri; Salmoniformes; Salmonidae.